This 423-nucleotide ribosomal RNA is filed under the name uncultured bacterium. Its description in RNAcentral is "bacterial SSU rRNA". It matches the Rfam family "Bacterial small subunit ribosomal RNA", at positions 28 to 448 of the family's 1533-position model. The record is from RNAcentral.
GACGAACGCUGGCGGCGUGCUUAAUACAUGCAAGUCAACGACUUUUAGAGUAGCAAUAUUUAAAGGAGUGGCGCACGGGUGAGUAACACGUAGGUAAUCUGCCUUCAGGACUGACACAACUCGUCGAAAGACGGGCUAAUAUCAGAUAAUGCAGCGGCUCCGCAUGGAGACAGUUGUUAAAGUACAAGCGCCUGAAGAUGAGCCUGCGGUCCAUUAGCUAGUUGGUAGAGUAACAGCCUACCAAGGCAACGAUGGAUAGCUGGUCUGAGAGGAUGAUCAGCCACACUGGAACUGAGACACGGUCCAGACUCCUACGGGAGGCAGCAGUAAGGAAUAUUGCUCAAAUGGCCGAAAGGCUGAAGCAGCAACGCCGCGUGAAGGAUGAAUGGCCUUUGGCCUGUAAACUUCUGUAAAAAGGGAAAA